GGCUCUGGCAUCGAUGAAGAACGCAGCGAAAUGCGAUAAGUAAUGUGAAUUGCAGAAUUCAGUGAAUCAUCGAAUCUUUGAACGCACAUUGCGCCCGCCAGUAUUCUGGCGGGCAUGCCUGUUCGAGCGUCAUUACAACCCUCAGGCCCCCGGGCCUGGCGUUGGGGAUCGGCGGAAGCCCCCUGCGGGCACAACGCCGUCCCCCAAAUACAGUGGCGGUCCCGCCGCAGCUUCCAUUGCGUAGUAGCUAACACCUCGCAACUGGAGAGCGGCGCGGCCACGCCGUAAAACACCCAACUUCUGAAUGUUGACCUCGAAUCAGGUAGGAAU
Molecule: ribosomal RNA, 330 nt
Filed under: Fusarium solani
Lineage: Eukaryota; Fungi; Ascomycota; Sordariomycetes; Hypocreales; Nectriaceae
Description: partial 5.8S ribosomal RNA
Rfam family: 5.8S ribosomal RNA (bases 1-132)
Source: RNAcentral